RNAcentral lists this ribosomal RNA (1384 nucleotides) under human gut metagenome. RNAcentral's name for it is "bacterial LSU rRNA". It matches the Rfam family "Bacterial large subunit ribosomal RNA", at positions 1563 to 2925 of the family's 2925-position model. The record is from RNAcentral.
AAUAUCGACCGGGCCCUUUGGCCCGAAUACCGGGUGACCCCGCCUGCCGAGAAAAGCUUCGGCGUCAGGCUCGAAGCCGCCCGUACCCCAAACCGACACUGGUGGUCAGGUAGAGAAUACCAAAGCGAUCGAGCGAAUCCUGGUCAAGGAACUCGGCAAAUCACUCCCGUUCCUUCGGUUUAAGGGAGACCCCCGAUGGUGAACCGCCUCGCGCGGGGAGCUUUUGGGGGUGGCACAGACCAGGGGGUAGCGACUGUUUACCAAAAACACAGGUGCAUGCGAAGGCGCAAGCCGCUGUAUAUGCACUGACGCCUGCCCGGUGCCGGAAGGUUAAGAGGAUCCGUCAGCCUUCGGGUGAAGCGGUGAAUUCAAGCCCCGGUAAACGGCGGUGGUAACUAUAACCAUCCUAAGGUAGCGAAAUUCCUUGUCGGGUAAGUUCCGACCUGCACGAAUGGCGUAACGACUUCCCCACUGUCUCGACCAGGAGCUCGGCGAAAUUGCAGUACGAGUAAAGAUGCUCGUUAAGCGCAGAAGGACGAAAAGACCCCGGGACCUUUACUAUACCUUGGUAUUGGCAUUCGGUGUGGAUUGUGUAGCAUAGGCGGGAGGCCGAGAGGCGCGGUCGCCAGAUCGCGCGGAGCCGUAAGGUGAAAUACCGCUCUGUUCGCAUUGGAUGUCUAACCUCGAACAGUCAUCCUGUUCAGGGACAGUGCCUGGCGGGUAGUUUAACUGGGGCGGUUGCCUCCCAAAGAGUAACGGAGGCGCCCAAAGGUCCGCUCAGCCCGGUUGGCAAUCGGGUGGCGAGUGCAAGUGCACAAGCGGGCUUGACUGCGAGGACGACGGUCCGAGCAGGGACGAAAGUCGGGACUAGUGAUCCGGUGCCGGUGUACGGACGCGGCAUCGCUCAACGGAUAAAAGGUACCCCGGGGAUAACAGGCUGAUCAUUCCCAAGAGUCCAUAUCGACGGGAUGGUUUGGCACCUCGAUGUCGGCUCGUCGCAUCCUGGGGCUGGAGCAGGUCCCAAGGGUUCGGCUGUUCGCCGAUUAAAGCGGCACGCGAGCUGGGUUCAGAACGUCGUGAGACAGUUUGGUCUCUAUCCUCUGCGCUCGUUGGAAUGCUGAGGAGGCCUGCCCAUAGUACGAGAGGACCUGGGUGGACGAACCUCUGGUAUGCCGGUUGUCACGCCAGUGGCACGGCCGGUUGGCUACGUUCGGAAGGGAUAACCGCUGAAAGCAUCUAAGCGGGAAGCCUGCUCCAAGAUAAGCAUUCCAUAGGACUACGGGUCCUUGAAGUCCCCAUGCAGAACACGUGGUUGAUAGGCCGGAGGUGGAAGCCCCGCGAGGGGUGGAGCCGACCGGUACUAACGGACGAAAGGCAACACUAA